UCUGUUUGUAUAUAUAUAAUGCUUUGCUGUAAACAUAGCCUUUCAAUUUUCUCAGCUCUUUUCUUCUAACAAGUGACAACCAACAAUGGCUUCAAUGGCAGCGUCUUCUUCUAGCACCUUCUACACCAACCUCAAAUUUUGCACCAAAUCCAACAACAGCAACAGCAACUUGAACUAAAGGGAACUCAUUGAGAAGCAAUGAAAUAGCAACAGUUGGUGCUAUCUUCAAUUUUAAUUUCAGGAAGUAAUUUUUGUUUUGAUUCUACUGACAUAAUGUAUAUACUUCUUUUGAAAAGAAAUCUGCUCUAGCUAAGGACAAGGCUGAACUUUUAAUAUUGAAAAAAAAAAAAGAAGAAAGCUCACUUGAAGAUGUGCAAUAGCUAAAAGGUACUAACAUAUACAUAUUACAAAAUCACAAUCUAUGCCCCAAAACUUCGAAGUUGGCCAUAAUUUACAUACAUACAAAUACGAAUAAUAUUUUCUUUACAAUGACUUGGAUGACUUGAUAGCAAGCACCAUCUCCUUAGGCUUCUAUUUUAGUUUCUUAUUUAUUGAUAAGUUUUCGGUAUAUAUUUAUGUGUAUUUUCUAUUUGUCAAUUGUUUAUUAUGCAGUAUUGGAUACCUGUCUUAGUUGCUGAGAAUUUGAAGAGUGUUUAAACCUAUGCUGUAAAUUAAUUGCUUGCUAUAUAUGUGUAUAUAAUAAUGUUAUGGAUGCUAUGUUGAACAUAUUAGUAAAAUAAGAAUAUUAUAAAGUAUAGUUGGAGUCUUUUGAUAUAUGUAAUAAGAAGUUGGUGCUUUCCUUUUGGGUAAACUCUUCUAUUCUUAUUUGUUGAGUACCUGACGUGAUUAACCAAUAAUUAAAAUUUAUUCUUAACAUUUUGUUA
Molecule: non-coding RNA, 884 nt
Organism: Arachis ipaensis
Lineage: Eukaryota; Viridiplantae; Streptophyta; Magnoliopsida; Fabales; Fabaceae
Source: RefSeq, a predicted model, not a curated record